RNA transcript from Salvia miltiorrhiza (redroot sage), 1403 nucleotides. It is a transcript of the gene named transcription factor UNE12-like, with no coding region annotated. Lineage: Eukaryota; Viridiplantae; Streptophyta; Magnoliopsida; Lamiales; Lamiaceae. The record is from RefSeq and is a predicted model, not a curated record. The transcript is spliced from 6 exons.
AAAUUUAAAAAAAUGGCCACUCAUUUCUCUCUCUCUCCCUCUUCCUCUCCUUCUCGUCCUCGCCGCCGCUCCACAGUUGCCGCCCACCACCACCGCUACACUGCUAUUCUGAGACGGAGGGAGCCGCGCACGCGGUAGCGUUGCUCCGCCGCUGCUGACUCGCCGGGGAAGAAGACACUCUUCUAGCUCGGCACCUUUGACUCCGCCGCGCCGCCUCCCCCGGUCCGACGCUCCGCCUUCCCCGGUCCAACGCGCCGCCUUCCUGGUUCGACGCUCCUUCGGAAGCCUCCCCCUCCGUUCGCCUACAUCAGCGCCUCCUCUGUACACCUGAAUUCGAGUUCGCCCCACUGCUGAAUUCCAAUUCGCCGCGCCGCCUCUUCCCUAUCUGCCUCGCCUCCAUACAUCUUCUCUCGGUCUGCCUCCGUUCGCCUGCAUAAUCGGAGCAGGACGUCAUCUUCUACGCAGAUCUAGGGUUGAGCUUGAAGUGGAGGCGCGGCUUGUGGUCGUGCCACCACCGGGGUUCAGAGGGAUUUCAUGGUCAGCCAAUGACAAAUACUGUUCCUACAGCGCCUCAGCCUCCUGCAGUUCGUCCAAGGGUACGAGCUAGACGAGGCCAAGCAACAGAUCCACACAGUAUAGCUGAGAGAGAAGGUAUGGGCUGCCAGAGGAAGUCGCUGGGUUGGUGAAAUUCUUGGCCCUUAGCCAAGCUGCUAGUUAUAUCACUGGACAGGUGCUGACCAUUGAUGGAGGUAUGGUCAUGUAAGAGGCUUCUGAAGUUCAGCAUUGCUCUAGAUAACCCUCUCCAAAUGUGUGGCGCUAUGAGCUGACUCGCCUGUAUGCUCCUGAGGUUCUGUCCUGUUUGUCAAGUAAACUGCAAUUGUUGAUCGUGUUUAAAAAUGGAAGUUCCUGUGGCAGUUUGUUUCUAACUUGCUGAAGCAGGAGUGAAGGGAGAAUCAAAUGCUACUGCUGUUUUAAAAUCUGGAAAAAGGCAAGUAAAGCCGGUAGAUCCUAAUCCACAUGGUGAGAAGUUACUGCAGGUUGAAGAUCCUUUGGUGGAAGCUACAAAGUACUUGAAACUUCUCCAGAAGCACUCCUCCACAAUUACAUUGUGGUGCUCUCUCUCUCAAUUAAUGAACCAAUCGCAUACAUGCUGGAUAAGAUGUCGGUGGAGUGGAGGUGGCUCAAGUAGCGGUGGUCACCGAUUUGUGGCUCAGUUUUCCAAUUUGAUGUGUGCUGCAGGAGAUUUUGAUUGUAGAUUGAAUUGAUUCGGAUAAUAUUUUUGUUGUAUUUUGAUUGUUGAGUUAGAGGAAUUGAUGUAUUUUGAUGGUAGAUUGAGUUGUUGUAUUUUAGUGUUGUACAACAUUUUGAUUGAGCUGUAUAAUUAUUUUUUUAAUGUUCUUAAA